This 72-nucleotide transfer RNA is filed under the name Perkinsus olseni. RNAcentral's name for it is "tRNA-Cys". It matches the Rfam family "tRNA". From Rfam's summary of the family: Transfer RNA (tRNA) molecules are approximately 80 nucleotides in length. Their secondary structure includes four short double-helical elements and three loops (D, anti-codon, and T loops). The record is from RNAcentral. Lineage: Eukaryota; Perkinsozoa; Perkinsida; Perkinsidae.
GGGUGUGUAGCUCAGUGGUAGAGCGGCUGACUACAUAUCAGCAGGUCCUUAGUUCAAAUCCGGGCGCGUCCU